Molecule: long non-coding RNA, 495 nt
Filed under: Felis catus (domestic cat)
Lineage: Eukaryota; Metazoa; Chordata; Mammalia; Carnivora; Felidae
Description: lncRNA (ENSFCAG00000052665.1)
Source: RNAcentral
CUUCACUCCGACCUCUUCUGACUUCCUCUUCCACAUUGAAGGAGAUGUGUGAUUACAGUGGGCCCACAUGGAUAAUACAGGAUAAUAUCCCUUUUUUAAAGUCAGAACUUUAAUUCCAUCUUCUACCUUGAUUCCCCUUUGCUAUGUGAUAUGACAUAUUCACAGGUUCUGGGAAUUGUGACAUGGACAUCUCAGAGAGGGGGUCAUAAUUCUAUUACAGUGGCUUAGAAAUUCUGGUGCAUCUUAACUGAGGGUCUCUCGUGAGGUUGCAGUCAAGAUGUCAGCUGGUCUUGGUAGAUGCACGUCUCAGGAGAAAAUAACCAGGGGAAGAAGAGGAAAUGAUUGUGUUAAUGAUCAUGGCCUCACAAAAAUCUAGUGUACAUGCUGGAGGAACAGAACAUGGGAAGGAAAGGCCUUGAGCACCUGAUUAAGAAAUUUGGAUUCGCUUCUAUCUGAUUCAACAAACAUUUAUGAGUAAAAUUCUGUAAUGUGAGC